Molecule: transfer RNA, 63 nt
Filed under: Pentapycnon charcoti
Lineage: Eukaryota; Metazoa; Arthropoda; Pycnogonida; Pantopoda; Pycnogonidae
Description: tRNA-Pro
Source: RNAcentral
CAAGUAAUAUUUUAUUAAAAAUAUUAAUUUUGGAUAUUAAUGAUGAAUUUUAUUCUUACUUGA